RNAcentral lists this ribosomal RNA (506 nucleotides) under uncultured bacterium. RNAcentral's name for it is "partial 16S ribosomal RNA". It matches the Rfam family "Bacterial small subunit ribosomal RNA", at positions 29 to 523 of the family's 1533-position model. The record is from RNAcentral.
AGUGAACGCUGGCGGUAGGCCUAACACAUGCAAGUCGAACGGCAGCACAGGAGAGCUUGCUCUCUGGGUGGCGAGUGGCGGACGGGUGAGGAAUACAUCGGAAUCUACUCUGUCGUGGGGGAUAACGUAGGGAAACUUACGCUAAUACCGCAUACGACCUACGGGUGAAAGCAGGGGACCUUCGGGCCUUGCGCGAUUGAAUGAGCCGAUGUCGGAUUAGCUAGUUGGCGGGGUAAAGGCCCACCAAGGCGACGAUCCGUAGCUGGUCUGAGAGGAUGAUCAGCCACACUGGAACUGAGACACGGUCCAGACUCCUACGGGAGGCAGCAGUGGGGAAUAUUGGACAAUGGGCGCAAGCCUGAUCCAGCCAUGCCGCGUGGGUGAAGAAGGCCUUCGGGUUGUAAAGCCCUUUUGUCCGGAAAGAAAUCCUGUCGGUUAAUACCCGGCGGGGAUGACGGUACCGGAAGAAUAAGCACCGGCUAACUUCGUGCCAGCCGCCGCCGUAA